Molecule: ribosomal RNA, 490 nt
Filed under: uncultured bacterium
Lineage: Bacteria
Description: partial 16S ribosomal RNA
Rfam family: Bacterial small subunit ribosomal RNA
Source: RNAcentral
AUUGAACGCUGGCGGCAUGCUUUACACAUGCAAGUCGGACGGCAGCACAGAGAAGCUUGCUUCUUGGGUGGCGAGUGGCGCACGGGUGAGUCACAUAUCGGAACGUACCGAGCAGUGGGGGAUAACUAAUCGAAAGAUUAGCUAAUACCGCAUAUCUUCUGAGGAAGAAAGCAGGGGACCAUUUGGCCUUUCGCUGUUUGAUCGGCCGAUAUCUGAUUAGCUAGUUGGUGGGGUAAAGGCCUACCAAGGCGACGAUCAGUAGCGGGUCUGAGAGGAUGAUCCGCCACACUGGGACUGAGACACGGCCCAGACUCCUACGGGAGGCAGCAGUGGGGAAUUUUGGACAAUGGGCGAAAGCCUGAUCCAGCCAUGCCGCGUGUCUGAAGAAGGCCUUCGGGUUGUAAAGGACUUUUGUCAGGGAAGAAAAGGGCGAGGUUAAUACCCCUGUCUGAUGACGGUACCUGAAGAAUAAGCACCGGCUAACUACGUG